RNAcentral lists this ribosomal RNA (1371 nucleotides) under Dokdonia genika. RNAcentral's name for it is "bacterial SSU rRNA". It matches the Rfam family "Bacterial small subunit ribosomal RNA". Lineage: Bacteria; Pseudomonadati; Bacteroidota; Flavobacteriia; Flavobacteriales; Flavobacteriaceae. The record is from RNAcentral.
CAGGAGUAGCUUGCUAUUUGCUGACGACCGGCGCACGGGUGCGUAACGCGUAUAGAAUCUACCUUAUACUGGGGGAUAGCCUUUGGAAACGAAGAUUAAUACCCCAUAGUAUUAUUUUUUGGCNUCAUUAAAUAAUUAAAGUUUCGGCGGUAUAAGAUGACUAUGCGUUCUAUUAGUUAGUUGGUAAGGUAACGGCUUACCAAGACUUCGAUAGAUAGGGGUCCUGAGAGGGAGAUCCCCCACACUGGUACUGAGACACGGACCAGACUCCUACGGGAGGCAGCAGUGAGGAAUAUUGGACAAUGGAGGCAACUCUGAUCCAGCCAUGCCGCGUGUAGGAAGACUGCCCUAUGGGUUGUAAACUACUUUUAUAUGGGAAGAAUAAGAUCUACGUGUAGAUNGAUGACGGUACCAUAAGAAUAAGCACCGGCUAACUCCGUGCCAGCAGCCGCGGUAAUACGGAGGGUGCAAGCGUUAUCCGGAAUCAUUGGGUUUAAAGGGUCCGUAGGCGGGCAUAUAAGUCAGUGGUGAAAGUCUGUGGCUNAACCAUAGAAUUGCCAUUGAUACUGUAUGUCUUGAAUUAUUGUGAAGUGGUUAGAAUAUGUAGUGUAGCGGUGAAAUGCUUAGAGAUUACAUAGAAUACCGAUUGCGAAGGCAGAUCACUAACAAUAUAUUGACGCUGAUGGACGAAAGCGUAGGUAGCGAACAGGAUUAGAUACCCUGGUAGUCUACGCCGUAAACGAUGGAUACUAGUUGUUUGGUUUUCGGACUGAGUGACUAAGCGAAAGUGAUAAGUAUCCCACCUGGGGAGUACGUUCGCAAGAAUGAAACUCAAAGGAAUUGACGGGGGCCCGCACAAGCGGUGGAGCAUGUGGUUUAAUUCGAUGAUACGCGAGGAACCUUACCAGGGCUUAAAUGUAGUCUGACAGCUUUAGAGAUAGAGUUUUCUUCGGACAGAUUACAAGGUGCUGCAUGGUUGUCGUCAGCUCGUGCCGUGAGGUGUCAGGUUAAGUCCUAUAACGAGCGCAACCCCUGUGGUUAGUUGCCAGCGAGUAAUGUCGGGAACUCUAGCCAGACUGCCGGUGCAAACCGUGAGGAAGGUGGGGAUGACGUCAAAUCAUCACGGCCCUUACGUCCUGGGCCACACACGUGCUACAAUGGUAGGGACAGAGAGCAGCCACUUAGCGAUAAGGAGCGAAUCUAUAAACCCUAUCUCAGUUCGGAUUGGAGUCUGCAACUCGACUCCAUGAAGCUGGAAUCGCUAGUAAUCGGAUAUCAGCCAUGAUCCGGUGAAUACGUUCCCGGGCCUUGUACACACCGCCCGUCAAGCCAUGGAAGCUGGGGGUACCUGAAGUCCGUCACCGUAAGGAG